UACGAAGGGGGCUAGCGUUGUUCGGAUUUACUGGGCGUAAAGCGCACGUAGGCGGAUCGUUAAGUCGGGGGUGAAAUCCUGGAGCUCAACUCCAGAACUGCCUUCGAUACUGGCGAUCUUGAGUCCGGAAGAGGUGAGUGGAACUCCUAGUGUAGAGGUGGAAUUCGUAGAUAUUAGGAAGAACACCAGUGGCGAAGGCGGCGACCUGGUCCUUUACUGACGCUGAGGCGCGAAAGCGUGGGGAGCAAACAGGG
This 254-nucleotide ribosomal RNA is filed under the name uncultured bacterium. RNAcentral describes it as "partial 16S ribosomal RNA". It matches the Rfam family "Bacterial small subunit ribosomal RNA", at positions 524 to 777 of the family's 1533-position model. The record is from RNAcentral.